AUUCUCCAGUCAAAGUCUCUGUUCCAUUUCUCUUGUGAGAAUAGAGAAAGCCACCCGAGGCUUGAUUUUCCUCUUAUUUCCUUCAAGUCACAUUUUC
This is a long non-coding RNA of Ipomoea nil (Japanese morning glory), 97 nucleotides long. RefSeq lists it as uncharacterized. The record is from RefSeq and is a predicted model, not a curated record. Lineage: Eukaryota; Viridiplantae; Streptophyta; Magnoliopsida; Solanales; Convolvulaceae. The transcript is spliced from 3 exons.